Molecule: ribosomal RNA, 200 nt
Filed under: uncultured Glomus
Lineage: Eukaryota; Fungi; Glomeromycota; Glomeromycetes; Glomerales; Glomeraceae
Description: partial small subunit ribosomal RNA
Rfam family: Eukaryotic small subunit ribosomal RNA
Source: RNAcentral
CCAAUAGCGUAUAUUAAAGUUGUUGCAGUUAAAAAGCUCGUAGUUGAAUUUCGAGACUGGUUUACUGAUCGUGCUUUUGUACGUACUGGUAUUAUUGGUUUCUCCUUUCUGACGAAUCAUAAUGCCAUUAAUUUGGUGUUUUGGGGAAUCAGGACUGUUACUUUGAAAAAAUUAGAGUGUUUAAAGCAGGCUCACGCUUG